AUGGUCACUUCGGCAGCACAUAUACUAAAAUUGGAACAACGAUAUAGAGAGGAUUAGCAUGGCCACUGUGCAAGGCUGACACGCAAAUUUGUGAAGUGUUCCAUAUUUUU
Small nuclear RNA from Mesoplodon densirostris (Blainville's beaked whale), 110 nucleotides. Lineage: Eukaryota; Metazoa; Chordata; Mammalia; Artiodactyla; Ziphiidae. The record is from RefSeq and is a predicted model, not a curated record.